RNAcentral lists this ribosomal RNA (379 nucleotides) under uncultured soil bacterium. RNAcentral's name for it is "bacterial SSU rRNA". It matches the Rfam family "Bacterial small subunit ribosomal RNA", at positions 26 to 408 of the family's 1533-position model. The record is from RNAcentral.
AGAUUGAACGCUGGCGGCAUGCCUUACACAUGCAAGUCGAACGCGAAAGCGGGGCAACCCGCAAGUAGAGUGGCGAACGGGUGAGUAAUACAUCGGAACAUUUCCAGUAGCGGGGGAUAACCUGUCGAAAGAUAGGCUAAUACCGCAUACGACCCAAGGGUGAAAGCGGAGGACCGCAAGGCUUCGCACUAUUGGAGUGGCCGAUGUCGGAUUAGCUAGUUGGCGGGGUAACAGCCCACCAAGGCUACGAUCCGUAGCUGGUCUGAGAGGACGAUCAGCCACACUGGAACUGAGACACGGUCCAGACUCCUACGGGNGGCAGCAGUGGGGGAAUUUGGACAAGUGGCGAAAGCCUGAUCCAGCAAUGCCGCGUGAGUGA